AUUGAACGCUGGCGGCAGGCCUAACACAUGCAAGUCGAACGGUAGCACAGAGAGCUUGCUCUCGGGUGACGAGUGGCGGACGGGUGAGUAAUGUCUGGGAAACUGCCCGAUGGAGGGGGAUAACUACUGGAAACGGUAGCUAAUACCGCAUAAUGUCGCAAGACCAAAGAGGGGGACAUUCGGGCCUCUUGCCAUCGGAUGUGCCCAGAUGGGAUUAGCUAGUUGGUGAGGUAAUGGCUCACCAAGGCGACGAUCCCUAGCUGGUCUGAGAGGAUGACCAGCCACACUGGAACUGAGACACGGUCCAGACUCCUACGGGAGGCAGCAGUGGGGAAUAUUGCACAAUGGGCGCAAGCCUGAUGCAGCCAUGCCGCGUGUGUGAAGAAGGCCUUCGGGUUGUAAAGCACUUUCAGCGGGGAGGAAGGCAAUACGGUUAAUAACCGUGUUGAUUGACGUUACCCGCAUAAGAAGCACCGGCUAACUCCGUG
RNAcentral lists this ribosomal RNA (488 nucleotides) under uncultured bacterium. RNAcentral describes it as "partial 16S ribosomal RNA". It matches the Rfam family "Bacterial small subunit ribosomal RNA", at positions 30 to 507 of the family's 1533-position model. The record is from RNAcentral.